AAUCGAUUUCGAUUCCGGAGGUCUUGGAUCUGUUGUUUUAACCUUGUUCUGCGUUGCAGGGACGGUGCCCACUUCUUGAAAGACGCUGUGAUUCCAUCUAUUAAUAUUGUGGAAUGGCUUGUUAGGUCUGGGAUCCGCGCCUUUGUUUACAGCGGAGAUCAAGAUUCAAGGACCUCCCUAAUUGGAACCAGGUCUUUACUGGAGGGAUUGGCAAAGAAGCUGAAGCUGAAAACAAGCGUGCCUUACAGAAAUUGGUUCGAGAAGAAACAGGUGGGUGGGUGGACGCAAGUGUACGGUGAUAUCCUAUCUUUUGCGACCAUCAGAGGAGGUUCUAACACAGCACCCAUAUCACAACCGGCGAGAUCACUGGCGCUGUUUACGGCAUUUCUAGAAGGAAAGCCCCUCCCAGAUGCAUGAAACUCAUCAAUUUCAUGGUUGAAUGAAUAAGUUGGAGGGGAUGGUGUUUUAUCUCGCCAGCAAAUGUCACAUCCUCUGUGUAUGGAUGUGUUUCAUUUAUAUACAUAUAGUGGAAAAAUAAUUGUAUCAUGUAAUUUGAAUUUGGGUGUAAAAGUUUUAAUAGUCUACACGAA
Vitis riparia (riverbank grape) is the source of this 590-nucleotide long non-coding RNA. RefSeq lists it as uncharacterized. The record is from RefSeq and is a predicted model, not a curated record. Lineage: Eukaryota; Viridiplantae; Streptophyta; Magnoliopsida; Vitales; Vitaceae. The transcript is spliced from 3 exons.